UGAGGAAUAUUGGUCAAUGGGCGGGAGCCUGAACCAGCCAAGUAGCGUGAAGGAUGAAGGUUCUAUGGAUUGUAAACUUCUUUUACAGGGGAAUAAAGUUCACCACGUGUGGUGUUUUGUAUGUACCCUAUGAAUAAGGACCGGCUAACUCCGUGCCAGCAGCCGCGGUAAUACGGAGGGUCCAAGCGUUAUCCGGAUUUACUGGGUGUAAAGGGCGUGUAACCGGGAAGGCAAGUCAGGUGUGAAAUCUGGAGGCUCAACCUCCAAACUGCAUUUGAAACUGCUUUUCUUGAGUGUCGGAGAGGUAAUCGGAAUUCCUAGUGUAGCGGUGAAAUGCGUAGAUAUUAGGAGGAACACCAGUGGCGAAGGCGGCCUGCUGGGCUUUUACUGACGCUGAGGCUCGAAAGUGUGGGUAGCAAACA
This 422-nucleotide ribosomal RNA is filed under the name uncultured bacterium. RNAcentral describes it as "bacterial SSU rRNA". It matches the Rfam family "Bacterial small subunit ribosomal RNA", at positions 355 to 774 of the family's 1533-position model. The record is from RNAcentral.